RNAcentral lists this ribosomal RNA (553 nucleotides) under Fusarium culmorum. Its description in RNAcentral is "eukaryotic LSU rRNA". The stretch from base 197 to 350 matches the Rfam family "5.8S ribosomal RNA". Lineage: Eukaryota; Fungi; Ascomycota; Sordariomycetes; Hypocreales; Nectriaceae. The record is from RNAcentral.
AAAAAGUCGAACAAGGUCUCCGUUGGUGAACCAGCGGAGGGAUCAUUACCGAGUUUACAACUCCCAAACCCCUGUGAACAUACCUUAUGUUGCCUCGGCGGAUCAGCCCGCGCCCCGUAAAAAGGGACGGCCCGCCGCAGGAACCCUAAACUCUGUUUUUAGUGGAACUUCUGAGUAUAAAAAACAAAUAAAUCAAAACUUUCAACAACGGAUCUCUUGGUUCUGGCAUCGAUGAAGAACGCAGCAAAAUGCGAUAAGUAAUGUGAAUUGCAGAAUUCAGUGAAUCAUCGAAUCUUUGAACGCACAUUGCGCCCGCCAGUAUUCUGGCGGGCAUGCCUGUUCGAGCGUCAUUUCAACCCUCAAGCCCAGCUUGGUGUUGGGAGCUGCAGUCCUGCUGCACUCCCCAAAUACAUUGGCGGUCACGUCGAGCUUCCAUAGCGUAGUAAUUUACAUAUCGUUACUGGUAAUCGUCGCGGCCACGCCGUUAAACCCCAACUUCUGAAUGUUGACCUCGGAUCAGGUAGGAAUACCCGCUGAACUUAAGCAUAUCAAU